AUCCAGCUGACGAGUCAAAAAAUAGGACGAAACGCGCGUGUCCUGGAU
RNAcentral lists this non-coding RNA (48 nucleotides) under Schistosoma mansoni. The record is from RNAcentral. Lineage: Eukaryota; Metazoa; Platyhelminthes; Trematoda; Strigeidida; Schistosomatidae.